This 57-nucleotide ribosomal RNA is filed under the name Thanatephorus cucumeris. Its description in RNAcentral is "partial 18S ribosomal RNA". It matches the Rfam family "Eukaryotic small subunit ribosomal RNA", at positions 1778 to 1831 of the family's 1831-position model. The record is from RNAcentral. Lineage: Eukaryota; Fungi; Basidiomycota; Agaricomycetes; Cantharellales; Ceratobasidiaceae.
GGAAGUAAAAGUCGUAACAAGGGUUCCCGUAGGUGAACCUGCGGAAGGAUCAUUAUU